GUUAUAGGGACAAGUGAAUAAGUGCACAUGGUGGAUGCCUUGGCGAUUACAGGCGAUGAAGGACGUAGUAGCUUGCGAUAAGCUGCGGGGAGUGAGCAAACACACUUUGAUCCGCAGAUUUCCGAAUGGGGAAACCCGGCCUUUUAGGUCAUUGCAUACUGAAUACAUAGGUAUGCAAAGCGAACGCGGCGAACUGAAACAUCUAAGUAGCUGCAGGAAAAGAAAUCAACCGAGAUUCCCAAAGUAGUGGCGAGCGAAAUGGGAUGAGCCUUGUACGUGAUAGUCGAUCGAAUAGUGGAACAGCCUGGAAAUGCUGGCCAUAGAGGGUGAUAGCCCCUUACACGAAAUUCGAACGGUGGUACUAAGCGUACGACAAGUAGGGCGGGACACGAGAAAUCCUGUCUGAAGAUGGGGGGACCAUCCUCCAAGGCUAAAUACUCGUAAUCGACCGAUAGUGAACCAGUACCGUGAGGGAAAGGCGAAAAGAACCCCGGGAGGGGAGUGAAAUAGAUCCUGAAACCGUGUGCAUACAAACAGUCGGAGCCUCUUCGUGGGGUGACGGCGUACCUUUUGUAUAAUGGGUCAGCGACUUACAUUCAGUGGCGAGGUUAACCGAAUAGGGGAGCCGUAGAGAAAUCGAGUCCGAACAGGGCGACAGUCGCUGGGUGUAGACCCGAAACCAGGUGAUCUACCCAUGGCCAGGAUGAAGGUGCGGUAACACGCCCUGGAGGUCCGAACCCACUAAUGUUGAAAAAUUAGGGGAUGAGCUGUGGGUAGGGGUGAAAGGCUAAACAAACCUGGAAAUAGCUGGUUCUCUCCGAAAACUAUUUAGGUAGUGCCUCAAGUAUCACCAUCGGGGGUAGAGCACUGUUAUGGCUAGGGGGUCAUUGCGACUUACCAAACCAUUGCAAACUCCGAAUACCGAUGAGUGCGAGCUUGGGAGACAGACGUCGGGUGCUAACGUCCGGCGUCAAGAGGGAAACAACCCAGACCGCCAGCUAAGGUCCCAAAGAUUGGCUAAGUGGAAAACGAAGUGGGAAGGCUAAAACAGUCAGGAUGUUGGCUUAGAAGCAGCCAUCAUUUAAAGAAAGCGUAAUAGCUCACUGAUCGAGUCGUCCUGCGCGGAAGAUGUAACGGGGCUAAGCCAGUCACCGAAGCUGCGGAUAUGU
RNAcentral lists this ribosomal RNA (1169 nucleotides) under Massilia cellulosiltytica. RNAcentral's name for it is "partial 23S ribosomal RNA". It matches the Rfam family "Bacterial large subunit ribosomal RNA", at positions 1 to 1211 of the family's 2925-position model. The record is from RNAcentral. Lineage: Bacteria; Pseudomonadati; Pseudomonadota; Betaproteobacteria; Burkholderiales; Oxalobacteraceae.